This 459-nucleotide ribosomal RNA is filed under the name Streptomyces sp. XM-24-6. Its description in RNAcentral is "bacterial SSU rRNA". It matches the Rfam family "Bacterial small subunit ribosomal RNA", at positions 54 to 527 of the family's 1533-position model. Lineage: Bacteria; Bacillati; Actinomycetota; Actinomycetes; Kitasatosporales; Streptomycetaceae. The record is from RNAcentral.
CAUGCAAGUCGAACGAUGAACCACUUCGGUGGGGAUUAGUGGCGAACGGGUGAGUAACACGUGGGCAAUCUGCCCUGCACUCUGGGACAAGCCCUGGAAACGGGGUCUAAUACCGGAUACUGACCCUCGCAGGCAUCUGCGAGGUUCGAAAGCUCCGGCGGUGCAGGAUGAGCCCGCGGCCUAUCAGCUUGUUGGUGAGGUAAUGGCUCACCAAGGCGACGACGGGUAGCCGGCCUGAGAGGGCGACCGGCCACACUGGGACUGAGACACGGCCCAGACUCCUACGGGAGGCAGCAGUGGGGAAUAUUGCACAAUGGGCGAAAGCCUGAUGCAGCGACGCCGCGUGAGGGAUGACGGCCUUCGGGUUGUAAACCUCUUUCAGCAGGGAAGAAGCGAAAGUGACGGUACCUGCAGAAGAAGCGCCGGCUAACUACGUGCCAGCAGCGGGGGGUUAAUUCA